Molecule: microRNA precursor, 151 nt
Organism: Homo sapiens (human)
Lineage: Eukaryota; Metazoa; Chordata; Mammalia; Primates; Hominidae
Source: Ensembl
CCCCCAUUUCCUCAGGAAUAAAAGUGCAGCAGUGCCUGCUGUGGGGACAGCUGAGGGCAGUGAGGCCCUGGGGAGCUGCUGCAGGCAGCAGGUGGGCGGGACGCCAGCAGGCUGUCUAGCUGUUCCCAUGAUGGUCUCCUGUUCUCUGCAG